RNAcentral lists this ribosomal RNA (333 nucleotides) under uncultured Anaerolineaceae bacterium. Its description in RNAcentral is "bacterial SSU rRNA". It matches the Rfam family "Bacterial small subunit ribosomal RNA", at positions 1034 to 1382 of the family's 1533-position model. The record is from RNAcentral. Lineage: Bacteria; Bacillati; Chloroflexota; Anaerolineae; Anaerolineales; Anaerolineaceae.
ACAGGUGUUGCAUGGCUGUCGUCAGCUCGUGUCGUGAGAUGUUCGGUUAAGUCCGCUAACGAGCGCAACCUCGUCGUAUGUUAUAUGUGUCAUACGAGACUGCCGGUAAAAAGCCGGAGGAAGGUGAGGAUGAUGUCAAGUCAGCAUGACCUUUAUAUCCAGGGCUACACACACGCUACAAUGGUCUGUACAAUGGGUAGCCAAGCCGCGAGGCGGAGCCAAUCCUGAAAGCAGGCCUCAGUUCAGAUUGCAGUCUGCAACUCGACUGCAUGAAGCCGGAGUUGCUAGUAACCGCAGGUCAGCUAUACUGCGUUGAAUACGUUCCCGGGGCUU